GAAUAUAGGGAAUCGUAUGCAUAACCUCAAAACAACUAAAAAUAAUAGUCACCUCUACAAUCUAGAUUUUAAAGUAAAGUAAAAAUAAUACUAUUUCAUUAAAUUUAAGUUUUUUUAAAUUAAUUAAUUAAUUAAUUUAUUUAUUAUUAGCUUCAAUUAAUGUUAUUAUUCAAUUUCUGCGAUAACUGUCAUUUUGACAACUUAAUGCCGGUUAAUUAACCAGUAAAGUAGCAGACAAAAUACUCACGAACAAAGUUGUUGGUAAUUUUUCAUUAUCAAUGAUAGGCAAGCAGACACCGAAGUGUCCAUUCUUUCUCUAUCUACGCAUUUUGGUGUUUGCUAUGUAUUUUGAAUGGAAAGUAUCCGGUAUUUAUUUCUAUUUGUUUCGUUUUUAAUAAGCAACUACAUUAUCGCUUCAAAUUGAGGAUAUAUGUAUAUAUUUGUUUUUGUUACACGAAAAUACAAGUUUGUGAUGGAGUUAUAAUAAGAUUGCAAAUAAAUUUUUCCACUCAUUUUCUUAAAUAGUUAAUGGAAUAGUAAUUUUGAAAUCAUUAUCUGAAUAAUUGUUAAUCGGAGAAAAUGUUACAAAUACUGCAAUCAAGUUCUAGAUGAUGAAGAAAUUAUUUGAAAUUAGACAAUUGUACAAGUUGUUGCACAGCAUUCUCUAUAACAUUGAUAGAGGAAAAAUUCCAAUAUUGUAUAUUUUCUCACAAUGGUUGGCAACUCAUUAGAAUCACCUCUAUUCCAUCAAUCUACAGGUAGAUGGGAAAUUUGUCAAUGGGUAUCGCAUAUCAAAUUGUCCAGGAUUAUGAUACCGAUAUUUUUGAUUUUAUUUAUUUUACCCUUAAUAGCUCAUUACUAUUUGUCUAAGGUAGAAUCAAAUACAUCAGGCAUGGAUAUUCACCGAACUAAACUUGAAGCAUUUGAAGAUUUCACGUCAAUGAAAGCAUCGGAUUUAAAAUUUCGAAUUGAAGAAAUGUUAAGAAUAAAAGUAUCAGUAAGUAAUGAACUUCGAGAUCUGGAAGGAAAACGUCAAAGACUGCAAAUGGAAGUGAGUAGUUUUACUCAGAAGAUUGAUGACCUCAAACAAGAUUUAGUUCAUCAACAAACAGAUCUUGACCGUUUGAAAAUGAGCUUAAUUCAAGCCCAAGUAGCUCAAAGAGAAGCAAUAGAACGUAAUACUCCAGAAUUAGCACCUCCUAAAAAAAUGUUAAUCAAUUCAUUGCCUGCCAUUCUUUCUAGUCCAGAUUCUCGUGGUUGUAAAAUGUUUAAUUGUUUUGAUCAUAGUCGAUGUGCUUUAACAAGUGGUUUUCCAAUUUAUUUGUAUGAUCCAGAUUUAUUUUCAACAUUGAAUCCAGGUUGGGAUAUUGAUGGAUUUAUCAGAACAACAACCAAACAAACUCUUGGUUAUAAUCCACAUUUGACGACUAAUCCAGCUGAAGCUUGUAUUUAUAUCGUAUUAAUUGGAGAAGUUUUAGCCGUGCCCGCUGUCAGUUUAUCAGCUUUAUCAAAUCUAUCAACAAAUUCAGGUUCAUCAAUUCUUCAAAAAAUAAAUCUCAAAAAACUACACUCUCUUCCAUAUUGGGGUGGAGAUGGUCGAAAUCAUUUACUGUUGAAUUUAGCAAGACGAGAUUUGUCAUUAAAUUCUGGAAAUUUAUUUGAUAACGUUAAUAGUGGAAGAGCAAUUAUAGUGCAGUCAACGUUCACUAGAAACCAGUUUAGAGAAGGAUUUGACUUAAUUGUUCCACCAAUACUUGGACCUCCAGGUGGAGAUAUUUGGCAAGAAUGUCCUCAAAUGGUUCCAGCAAGACGAAAAUAUCUUUUAUCCUUUCAAGGUGAAAUGAAAAUUACAAAAUCCUUUACAUCUCGUCAAAUGGAUGAUGCAGAAAUAGAUUUAGAAAGGUUAGAAGAUGAAAAUAGCCUAGAUAACUUUAUCAUCCAACACCUGAAUGACAUGACAACGGAAGUGACAUUAGAUAAAUUUUUCAUCCAAUUUGAAUGCAUUCCAGCUACUGAGAUACAUAAAACAGAUAAGGCAUUAGAUUGGUCCCUUUGUGGAACUGAAUCUUCAAGAAAAGAAAUUCUACAAGAUUCCACUUUUGCAUUAAUUUUAGCACCAACAAAUACGAGUUUUAUUUCUACUUCUUCGAUACAAGCUAGACUAUAUGAAGCUCUACGAUCUGGAGCUAUUCCUGUAGUAUUAGGAGGUGAUCAAGUACUUCUGAGUUACGAUCAAGUGAUAGAUUGGAAGAAAGCUGUAAUUUUUUUACCAAAAGCUCGGGUAACAGAAAUGCACUUUCUUCUUCGAGCAAUUCCUGAUAAUGAUUUACUAUUUAUGCGACGACAAGGACGGUUAAUUUGGGAAAGAUACAUGGGAACGGCUCAAGGAGUUGUGGAUACGAUUAUUACUUUAGUAAGAGAACGCUUAGGUAUUCCACCAUUACCUGCGAUGCAAUCUUCUAGUCCUAGUGUUUUCAAUGACAGUUUCGUACCUAUUAAAUCUGAUGCUAUAAUAGCUGAAUCUGAAGCUGAAGAAAGUUUAGGGCCAUUAGAGCCUCCAUACCCGUCGCCAGCGUUCAAAAAGAAUUACACCACAAUGUUAAUACAUGGAUACGAGAUUUGGAAUGUGUGGGCUAAUCCUUUUUAUCUUUACCCUCAGUUACCAUUCGAUACUAUACUUCCUAGUGAUGCUAAAUUCAUCGGCUCAGAAACGGGUUUUCGACCAAUUGGGAAAGGCGCAGGAGGAGCAGGAAAAGAAUUUAGUGAAUCAUUAGGUGGAAAUUAUCCUAGAGAACAGUUUACAAUAGUAAUUCUCACGUAUGAGAGAGAACAAGUUUUGAUUAAUUCUUUAGCAAGAUUGUAUGGUUUACCAUACUUAAAUAAAGUUUUAGUUGUUUGGAAUAGCCCGAAACCGCCUAUUGAAGACCUUAAAUGGCCUGAUAUUGGAGUACCGAUUGUAGUUAUAAAAUCAAUAAGGAAUAGUUUGAAUAAUCGAUUUUUGCCAUUCGAUACAAUUGAAACUGAAGCUGUUUUAUCUGUUGAUGAUGAUGCUCACUUAAGACAUGAUGAAAUCAUGUUUGGUUUUAGAGUUUGGAGAGAACAUAGAGAUCGAAUAGUUGGAUUUCCCGGACGUUAUCAUUCGUGGGAUCAAAAUUAUCACAAUGUUUGGAAUUAUAAUUCCAAUUAUUCAUGUGAAUUAUCGAUGGUAUUGACUGGAGCCGCCUUUAUUCAUAAACAUUAUAUGUAUCUUUAUACUUAUUGGAUUCCUCAAGCUAUAAGGGAUAAAGUGGAUGAGUACAUGAAUUGCGAAGAUAUUGCUAUGAAUUUUUUGGUAUCACAUUUAACACGUAAACCACCUGUUAAAGUCACAUCCAGAUGGACAUUCAGAUGUCCAGGUUGUCCAGUUUCUUUAUCAGAGGACGAUACUCAUUUUCAAGAGCGUCACAAAUGUAUUAACUAUUUUUCACAGAGUCGCAAGAAGGAAGGUGUAGAAGAAGAAAAAGCUAUGUUCAACACCUACAGACACGAUUUAAAGCCAAAAUAUACAACUAUUCAAUAUAGUUUAAGUAGUAGAGCAGUCAGCAUGUAACUAAAAGAUCAUCUUCGAUUCCCGGUCUUGACGAAAUAUAUGUAUAUUUUUCGCAAAAAAUCGUUCUGCGUCAGUUGUAGAGUUGUCUUUAUGAGGAGAAAAUUAAAAAGUGUUUGGAUAUAUGCCUCUACUGAAUACACAAUACCGUGCCGAUUCAAUCUUAUUUAAAACACGAAUAUCUCAU
Chelonus insularis is the source of this 3773-nucleotide RNA transcript. It is a transcript of the gene named exostosin like glycosyltransferase 3, with no coding region annotated. Lineage: Eukaryota; Metazoa; Arthropoda; Insecta; Hymenoptera; Braconidae. The transcript is spliced from 8 exons. The record is from RefSeq and is a predicted model, not a curated record.